GUUGGGAUGGGGUCUCAUGAAAUUGUUGAGGAUGCCCUGGAAUUUGUGAUCCUCCUGCCUCAAUCUCCAUAGUUACUGGAGAGGAAGGACCACUAGCUUCCACCAACCCUAAAGCUAAGAAUGCCAGAAAAUAACAUCUGAGCCAGGCAUGGUUGUUCAGGUUUGUAAUCCCAGCUUCUAGAGAUGCUGAGGGAGGAGGACUCCAAAUUCAAGGCCAGUAUUAACAUUUUUUUGUUCUGGGGAUUGAACCCAGGGUUGCUUUAUCACUGAGCUACAUUCCCAGCCCCCCUCCCCCGCCCCCCCUUUUUUUUUUUUUUUUUUUUUUUUUUUGAGACAGGGUCUUGCUAAGUUGCUUAGGGCCUCACUAAAUUGCUGAGGCUGGUUUUGAACUUGUGAUCUUCCUGCCUCAGCUUCUGGAGCCACAGGGGAUCACCAUGCCAGCCUCCACAAUUUGAUGAAAAUUUUUAAAAAAGGUCAGGGGAUGUAGCACAGUAACAAAGCACCCCAAGGCUUAAUCCCUGUACCAAAACAACCAACCAAGAAACAUAGAGAUUUAGUUAGGCUGUGCUUUAUUAGAAAUUCGUCAACCUUAAUUUCCUCGGCAUUUAUCCUCAGAAUGAGGAGGUAAAAACAGUUACCAGGAAGUUGCUUUUAAUUUUGAAGGGCAUCUGCUUCAGAACUGAAGAUUGAAGACUGG
RNAcentral lists this long non-coding RNA (697 nucleotides) under Marmota monax (woodchuck). The record is from RNAcentral. Lineage: Eukaryota; Metazoa; Chordata; Mammalia; Rodentia; Sciuridae.